GUGGGGAAUCUUGCGCAAUGGGCGAAAGCCUGACGCAGCCAUGCCGCGUGAAUGAUGAAGGUCUUAGGAUUGUAAAAUUCUUUCACCGGGGACGAUAAUGACGGUACCCGGAGAAGAAGCUCCGGCUAACUUCGUGCCAGCAGCCGCGGUAAUACGAAGGGGGCUAGCGUUGCUCGGAAUUACUGGGCGUAAAGGGCGCGUAGGCGGACAGCUUAGUCAGAGGUGAAAGCCCAGGGCUCAACCUUGGAAUUGCCGUUGAUACUGGCUGUCUUGAGUUUGGGAGAGGUGAGUGGAACGACGGGUGUAGAGGUGAAAUUCGUAGAUAUUCGGAAGAACACCAGUGGCGAAGGCGACUCACUGGCGCAAUACUGACGCUGAGGCGCGAAAGCGUGGGGAGCAAACAGGAUUAGAUACCCCUGUAGUCC
Molecule: ribosomal RNA, 425 nt
Filed under: uncultured bacterium
Lineage: Bacteria
Description: partial 16S ribosomal RNA
Rfam family: Bacterial small subunit ribosomal RNA
Source: RNAcentral